ACAUUUUAGUACUCAACAGUUCAAACUAUUUCACUUACAACACCAAACUCAACCUAUUUUCAGCAUCUUCAUUUACAGAAUAUUACACAAUCUACAGCUUUUAAAUAUACUUUUUGACUCACUACAGAAACACUUGCAAAAGAAGAAAAAAUAUCAGUGUAGGUCUGGCCUAAUGUAAUCUGGAUCUCAUAACAGCCAGAAUUUACUUCCUAA
This 213-nucleotide unclassified non-coding RNA is filed under the name Hevea brasiliensis (rubber tree). Lineage: Eukaryota; Viridiplantae; Streptophyta; Magnoliopsida; Malpighiales; Euphorbiaceae. The record is from RNAcentral.